Molecule: ribosomal RNA, 251 nt
Filed under: uncultured bacterium
Lineage: Bacteria
Description: partial 16S ribosomal RNA
Rfam family: Bacterial small subunit ribosomal RNA
Source: RNAcentral
ACGUAGGUCCCGAGCGUUGUCCGGAUUUAUUGGGCGUAAAGCGAGCGCAGGCGGUUUGAUAAGUCUGAAGUUAAAGGCUGUGGCUCAACCAUAGUUCGCUUUGGAAACUGUCAAACUUGAGUGCAGAAGGGGAGAGUGGAAUUCCAUGUGUAGCGGUGAAAUGCGUAGAUAUAUGGAGGAACACCGGUGGCGAAAGCGGCUCUCUGGUCUGUAACUGACGCUGAGGCUCGAAAGCGUGGGGAGCGAACAGG